UAAAAAGGGAGUAAAAAAUGC
This 21-nucleotide non-coding RNA is filed under the name Caenorhabditis elegans. The record is from RNAcentral. Lineage: Eukaryota; Metazoa; Nematoda; Chromadorea; Rhabditida; Rhabditidae.